Parasteatoda tepidariorum (common house spider) is the source of this 556-nucleotide non-coding RNA. Lineage: Eukaryota; Metazoa; Arthropoda; Arachnida; Araneae; Theridiidae. The record is from RefSeq and is a predicted model, not a curated record.
GUUAUGACUUCCUUAAAUUUAUUCAUUUUCUACAGUAUUCAUCUGCAUUAAUGUAAUUUCAGAUGUCUGUUAUAAUAAACAACUGUGCAAAAAUGGAGGUACUUGCAGGACAACAAAACCUAAUAGGUAUAAAUGUGACUGCAAACCUCCAUAUUCUGGCCGACUCUGUGAAAAAGUCAGUGCAUGUUCAUCUAAUCCUUGCCAAAAUAAAGGAACCUGCAUAGAAGACAAAAAUAAUUCUUACAAGUGCAACUGUACUGUUCCUUACAUUGGGAAAAAUUGUGAACUGAAAGAUCCUUGUUCUGAAAACCCAUGCAAAAAUGGUGGAACUUGUAGUUUUAAUGAAAAAGGCUUCACUUGUAAAUGCAAGCAGCCCUACAGUGGGCCAACAUGUCUGAUAGAUCCUUGUUCUGAAAACCCAUGCAAAAAUGGUGGAACUUGUAGUUUUAAUGAAAAAGGCUUCACUUGCAAAUGCAAGCAGCCCUUCAGUGGACCAACAUGCCUGACAGAUCCAUGCACGGCGAAUCCUUCUGCAAAUGACGGAACAUGUAAAGUU